This 2522-nucleotide long non-coding RNA is filed under the name Equus caballus (horse). RNAcentral describes it as "lncRNA (ENSECAG00000051197.1)". The record is from RNAcentral. Lineage: Eukaryota; Metazoa; Chordata; Mammalia; Perissodactyla; Equidae.
CCGGAUUCCAGGGGUGUGACCCGGGCCUCAUGUUUCCUCAUCUGUAGAACAGGAAUGACAAUAACACCUGCCUGACAGGAUUGUCAAGAGGAUCAAAUGAGGUAGUGUGAAAGUGCAAAAAAAAAAAAAAAGAAGAAGGCAGUUGCCCUAAUUAUUAGUGCUACGUAUCUAAUUAUUGUCUUAAUUACAAUGGAGCACGGGCUUGGGUUCGAGGACGCAGAAGGCUUGGCCCUGCGCACAAAGAUCUUGUGCACAGAAGCAAAUGACUGCGGCCGUCAGCGCUCACAAACAGCCCCAGGAGCUCCAAGCCUCUUGGGAGAAGUCAGUGCUUUCCAAGCGGCGCUGCAUCACGGUGGCGGGCUGAGCGCCCCUCCAUCAGUCAGAUCCCUGCGACCGGAGGAAAGCGGGAGAAGAGGGCGCUGGCAGUGUCCUUCGGCCGGCGGGGAAGUGGCUGGACCCCCGCACGGCCGGCGGCACUGGCUCCCCAGCUGACGCCCCAGCAAACCGCGGGGUUGGGGGGAGGAACUCGGCCGCAUCCGCACGUGGAGGUCAGCCGAGUGGGACUUCAGAACGAGCAGAUUCGAAUCUGUCGGCUAGGAAUCUCUGUGACUGGGCUCCCGCCUUCUCUCCAUGACUUUUGAUUUUCCGAGCACCUCCCAGCUGCCUGAACUUGUUUUCCCACCUGUAAUAAAUAGUUGUUAAAAUUACAUGAAAAUAUAGUAAAGAACUUGCUAAUUAUUCAAUAAAUAGCAGCUGUUAUUGCCACCGUCAUAGUCAGCAGCACUGCCGCAUCAUCUGUGGAUGGCCGAGUCAGCCCUGCCCCAUCCCGCGCCAGCCCACACCACCCAGCCGAGUCCCAGGCUCUCUAGCUCCACCGUCUGGGAGGGGACUGCCGUGAGCAUUUCUGCGUGAGAAACCAGGAGCCGGGGUGCCAGGGGUCAGAACCGGCGGCAGCUUUCAUGUCAUAGUUCCCACAUCCUUCUUCCCCUUGCUCCUCAUGCUCCAUGCUGAUCCUUCAAAGAACUGAAUUUCUGCGGUUUCUGGGCCGAGCACUCUCGUCCCAACGAGGACUCCAGGCACUGGCCGGUCCCAACCCAGGCAACCUGCGUGGCUCUGCUUCCGGCAUCUCAGUGGUUCUCGAGAGGGAGAUGCUAUCCUCCUACGGCAAUUGGAACACGGCGGGGGCAUUUUCAUCACAGCGAAGGGGUGCCCUACUGGUACUGCGUGGGAUUGGCCAGUGAUGGAAUAGGCCUGCACGACAAAGAAUUGUCUUGCAUAACUUUCAAAUGUCCCGCAGGACGUUCAUGUACAGACGGGAAAAAUGCCAAUCCCAGAGAGUUGCUGCAUCCAACAUGAUGCCACCCAGGGGGUGAGUUACAAAGGGCCGAAUGCAGGGCCUAGUUAGAGAGAGGAUAGAGACAGUCCCACUCUGCACGUGUUUCUAGGCCCCUGUGUGGCAUAGAAAAGGUCCUGAUGGUCCUGUGUGCUCCUGGUGGAGAAUGUAAGGUUAGCUGAGCAGAGCCAGGAGACCGCCUAUGGGGCUGCCUGGGGCAGCUGUGACCCUACAGCAGAGGCUGUGGGAAUGUAGGAGAAUGUUGUCAAGAUUCAGAGCAUUUGCAAAGCCAGCGAGAGCCAGAGAGAGCCAAGAUGGCAGAACUGGGAGGAGAGGCACAAGCAGUGUGCCCGUGACGAAGAUGGACGAGAAACUUUGACUCUUGCAUAAGGACCACACUGGGGUCUGAGAGUCUCCUCCGGGGCAAAGCUCCUGUAAGCUUUUCCCUACAACAACUGAAGGGCAAGUGGGGGUGGGAGCAGGGCAGAAAUCCUGAAAGAUGCAAGAGACUAAAGUAAACCAAAAAAAACAGUGUUAAACUGGAAAAGAUGGAGAUAUAUUUAGCUGGCAAGUCUGUACACCCUUCUUCUCCAACCUCUGCUCUUUUCCACUUCAAGGAAAAGCGGAGUAAUGGUUAUAGAAAGCAAAGGAGUAAACUUUUCUGGCCCCCUGAACGCAUGGGACAGGGUUUUCAACCCACUACACCAUGUGUGUGAUUGCUGCUGACUUCUCUAGGACUUUGACUCACCCACUUUUGCCAGACGUCUCCGAACUUCUUUGUAGGUAAAUAAAAUCAAGAGAGAGGGUCGUUAUUCCCUGGAGUCUUGAUUUAAGACGGUUUAUGCUCUGUGGUACGCAGUUGCUUCGCUCACUAAUCAUGUAAUGUAUCCUAAUAAUACCAUGCGAGUACCAUUUUGAUUUUUUGUUUACUUAUUUUAAUGGGCUAACAUAGGAGGUGGCAAACUUUUUCAAAGAACCAGAUAGUAAAUAUUUUAGGCUUUGUGGGCCACUUGAUUCCUGCUACAGCUCUUCAGUUUUGCUCUUGUAGCACAAAAGCAGCCAUAGACAACAUGUCAAGGCAUGGAUGUGGCUGAGUUCCAAUAAAAUUUUAUUGCUGGACACCAAAAUUUGAAUUUUAUAUAAUUUGCUCACGAGACAAAAUCUUCUUCUUCUUUUCAUUUUUUUCUCC